UUCACCUUCACGGCUGGUCCUCAUUGCAGCCUGCUGGCCAGCACUGUAACCCAGGUCACUGUCCUUAGGAGGGUGUGUGACUCCCUCCUCACAUCAAUCUGCCCCAGAGCCGGGACCCUCUUGCCCCAUGUGGUCAGGCCUCUCUCCCUACAGGGCAUGGCAGGGUGUCAGGAGCCAUGGUUCUUCUUUAUUCUUCUGUGCUGCUUUCUGAGCAGAGUGACUCAGCCCCUCUUCAGCUUCUCUGUGACCUGGGGAGAAGUGCCAUUGCUCCUCUGCUGGCAUGAGCGAUGAGAUCCUACUUCAUGAACUGGAAGAGGACACUGCAAAUAUCCAGUACUCUAGAAGGAUCAGGAGCCAUCACCUUCAUCCCUGUAUCUGGAAUUGCAACCUACGUAGCAAAGUGACAGUGAAAACUAAUCAGAAACUGUCACUGCCCUCUAGGAACUCCCAUGGUGGAGGGGGAAAGAAGGCAUGAGACAAACAGCCGGACAGAACUGUUGCAGGGCAGGAGUAUGAUGAUGGUUGCUAUAACGAGCUGCUUUGGGAACAAUAAUGCAUUCAUUUAUCAAA
Chinchilla lanigera (long-tailed chinchilla) is the source of this 570-nucleotide long non-coding RNA. RefSeq lists it as uncharacterized. Lineage: Eukaryota; Metazoa; Chordata; Mammalia; Rodentia; Chinchillidae. The record is from RefSeq and is a predicted model, not a curated record. The transcript is spliced from 2 exons.